RNAcentral lists this ribosomal RNA (301 nucleotides) under uncultured bacterium. Its description in RNAcentral is "partial 16S ribosomal RNA". It matches the Rfam family "Bacterial small subunit ribosomal RNA", at positions 509 to 808 of the family's 1533-position model. The record is from RNAcentral.
CAGCCGGCACGGUAAUACGUAGGUGGCAAGCGUUGUCCGGAAUUAUUGGGCGUAAAGCGCGCGCAGGCGGAUAGGUCAGUCUGUCUUAAAAGUUCGGGGCUUAACCCCGUGAUGGGAUGGAAACUGCUGAUCUAGAGUAUCGGAGAGGAAAGUGGAAUUCCUGGUGUAGCGGUGAAAUGCGUAGAUAUUAGGAAGAACACCAGUGGCGAAGGCGACUUUCUGGACGAAAACUGACGCUGAGGCGCGAAAGCCAGGGGAGCGAACGGGAUUAGAUACCCCCGUAGUCCCUGUCUCUUAUACC